RNAcentral lists this ribosomal RNA (403 nucleotides) under uncultured bacterium. RNAcentral's name for it is "partial 16S ribosomal RNA". It matches the Rfam family "Bacterial small subunit ribosomal RNA", at positions 28 to 526 of the family's 1533-position model. The record is from RNAcentral.
GACGAACGCUGGCGGCGUGCCUAAUACAUGCAAGUCGAACGCAGUGGGGACGGGUGAGUAACACGUUGGUCACCUCGCAUCAGAGGAGAUAACACUUGGAAACAGGUGCUAAACCGCUACUGAUGGAUGAACACGCGGUGCAUUAGCUAGUUGGUGGGGUAACGGCUCACCAAGGCCACGAUGCAUAGCCGACCGGGGAGGGUGAUCGCCCGAACGGGGACGGAGAAACGCCCCAGACUCCGACGGGAGGCAGAAGUAGGGAAUCUCCGGCAAUGGAGGAAAGUCUGACCGAGCAAGGCGGCGUGAGGGAAGAAGGUUUUGGGAUCGUAAAACUCGUUUGUUAGAGAAGCGGUAUCUAACCAGAAAGCCACGGCUAACUACGUGCCAGCAGCCGCGGUAAUAC